This 253-nucleotide ribosomal RNA is filed under the name Segatella copri DSM 18205. RNAcentral's name for it is "Prevotella copri DSM 18205 partial 16S ribosomal RNA". It matches the Rfam family "Bacterial small subunit ribosomal RNA", at positions 524 to 776 of the family's 1533-position model. The record is from RNAcentral. Lineage: Bacteria; Pseudomonadati; Bacteroidota; Bacteroidia; Bacteroidales; Prevotellaceae.
UACGGAAGGUCCGGGCGUUAUCCGGAUUUAUUGGGUUUAAAGGGAGCGUAGGCCGGAGAUUAAGCGUGUUGUGAAAUGUAGAUGCUCAACAUCUGAACUGCAGCGCGAACUGGUUUUCUUGAGUACGCAUAAAGUGGGCGGAAUUCGUGGUGUAGCGGUGAAAUGCUUAGAUAUCACGAAGAACUCCGAUUGCGAAGGCAGCUCACUGGGGCGCAACUGACGCUGAAGCUCGAAAGCGCGGGUAUCGAACAGG